Molecule: small RNA, 211 nt
Filed under: Oryza sativa Japonica Group (Japanese rice)
Lineage: Eukaryota; Viridiplantae; Streptophyta; Magnoliopsida; Poales; Poaceae
Description: sRNA Os02g0742550
Source: RNAcentral
ACAACAGUCACAGCAUCCUGAAGUGCUGGCAGUGAUCCAAACUCAACAGGCAAAACUCCUUCCCAGAACUCAUCAUCAUCGACAGGGAAAUCAUACCAAUGUCGCACUCCGUCCCAAUGGCGAGGACCGUGGCCAGGUACUUGGUGUCGGAGCCGCGCUUCUUAAGCUUGACCUGGGUGUAGUGCUCCACGGAGUGGGCGUUUGUGAGGAC